UAGGGAAUCUUCCGCAAUGGACGAACGUCUGACGGAGCAACGCCGCGUGAGUGAAGAAGGAUUUCGGUUCGUAAAACUCUGUUGUUAGGGAAGAAAAAAUGUAUAGUAACUAUAUACAAAAGAGACGGUACCUAACCAGAAAGCCACGGCUAACUACGUGCCAGCAGCCGCGGUAAUACGUAGGUGGCAAGCGUUGUCCGGAAUUAUUGGGCGUAAAGCGCGCGCAGGUGGUUUAGAAAGUCUGAUGUGAAAGCCCGCGGCUCAACCGUGGAGGGUCAUUGGAAACUAAUAAACUUGAGUGCAGGAGAGAAAAGGGGAAUUCCUAGUGUAGCGGUGAAAUGCGUAGAGAUUAGGAGGAACACCGGUGGCGAAAGCGGCUUUUUGGCCUGCAACUGACACUGAGGCGCGAAAGCGUGGGGAGCAAACAGG
This 429-nucleotide ribosomal RNA is filed under the name Verrucomicrobiota bacterium. RNAcentral's name for it is "Verrucomicrobia bacterium partial 16S ribosomal RNA". It matches the Rfam family "Bacterial small subunit ribosomal RNA", at positions 355 to 776 of the family's 1533-position model. The record is from RNAcentral. Lineage: Bacteria; Pseudomonadati; Verrucomicrobiota.